Molecule: long non-coding RNA, 294 nt
Filed under: Nicotiana benthamiana
Lineage: Eukaryota; Viridiplantae; Streptophyta; Magnoliopsida; Solanales; Solanaceae
Description: long non-coding RNA (NBEN_LNC023116)
Source: RNAcentral
UAAAACGAGACAUGCUUGAAAAGGUCUGAUCUUGGUAGGAAAUGUCAGAAAUAGGCUUAAAAUGCUUUGAAUACGCCGGAGCAAGGCCAGAUAGGCCAUGGAACCUUAAAUCGGUGAAGAUCUGAAUCGGACACCAUCGAGGCCAGACCUCAAAACUUCGAACACCAAACGUUUAAGAGCGAAGGAAGGGGACUAUAGGCCGUCCAUGGCAUGAGAGGCCAUGGAUUCCGGUGAGAUUGAUGUUGAAAAUGGUAGAAGACGACUGAGAGUUUGAGAGAGGGAGGGUAUUCAGAG